This 170-nucleotide ribosomal RNA is filed under the name Gymnomuraena zebra (zebra moray). Its description in RNAcentral is "partial 12S rRNA". Lineage: Eukaryota; Metazoa; Chordata; Actinopteri; Anguilliformes; Muraenidae. The record is from RNAcentral.
CACCGCGGUUAUACGAGGGGCCCAAACUGAUAAAUCACGGCGUAAAGUGUGAUUAAAGACAUACGAUAUACUAAAGCUAAAUAGCCCCUAUGCUGUCAUACGCCAUGGGGCCCACGAAGUCCAACAACGAAAGUGGCUUUAUAAACCUUGAACUCACGACAGUCAGGGCA